GCCCCCGUUGUGUAGCGGCCUAGCACGUCGCCCUCUCAAGGCGGUAGCGCCGGUUCGAAUCCGGUCGGGGGUA
Molecule: transfer RNA, 73 nt
Filed under: Nocardioides sp.
Lineage: Bacteria; Bacillati; Actinomycetota; Actinomycetes; Propionibacteriales; Nocardioidaceae
Also listed under: 22 other names
Description: tRNA-Glu
Rfam family: tRNA
About the family: Transfer RNA (tRNA) molecules are approximately 80 nucleotides in length. Their secondary structure includes four short double-helical elements and three loops (D, anti-codon, and T loops).
Source: RNAcentral